RNAcentral lists this long non-coding RNA (3827 nucleotides) under Setaria viridis. RNAcentral's name for it is "long non-coding RNA (SVIR_LNC002434)". Lineage: Eukaryota; Viridiplantae; Streptophyta; Magnoliopsida; Poales; Poaceae. The record is from RNAcentral.
CAAAUUUGACACUAUGCAAAAAGAAGAUUCCCCGUCACAUCAAACUUGCGGUACAUGCAUGGAGUACUAAAUGUAGACGAAAUCAAAAACUAAUUGCACAGUUUUGUUGUACUUUGCGAGACGAAUCUUUUGAGCCUAAUUAGUCAAUAUUUGGAUAAUAAUUCACAAAUACAAACGAAACGCUACAGUAUGCUACAAUGCUACAACAGUAAUUUUGGACAUCCAAAUUCAGGGCAACUAAACAAGGUCCAGUAUAAUUGUAGGGCCCCAGUAUAAUUGUAGGGCAAGUACGGUCGGUUUUUUGUAGGCGCCAAAACCUGAGAUCGUAGAUAAACUGGGCCAAGUUGAAGCUGCAUGUCGCACGAUCAAGGACACAAAACCAAAAAUUUCAACUGAUACAUCAUUCCUCUCGAACCGGCAUUCCUCCUGAGUCCUGACAGACAAAACAGGGUUCAGAAAAAAGGGCCAUCAAAUGAUCAAAGCCCAAAGCAGCUACACUAUACAUUCUCUGCACACCCUUGUGCCUGUGGCCGGUGCCACUAGCCCGAAGAGCUCCUUCGUUCCGUCGAGGCAAGCAAGAUCGCAGCAGGGAGGAAGGGCAGGACCUAGCAUCAUCAUCCGUGGACGGGCCCAGCAAAGCUGCAUCCUCUGCCGUAGGCUGUAGCCUUUAUCUGCGAGAAUCAUACACCGAUACACACAUGCGUACGCGCGCGCCACACCGCCCACACGUUAUCCUGGCCGGGGAACGCCCGCGUCUACUCUACACGCCGCCAUGCCGGGGAGCGGUCACGGCAUGUUGCUGGAAUGAUUGGUCGCCCUGGGGCCUGGAAAGAAGCGUCCAUCGCGCCUGCCUCGUGUACGCCGCGGGCACAAGCGCCAUCAUUCUGCUCCUGAAAGCGUUUCGAUCAUGGAGCAUGCGGCAUGCCUGCGGAAACCAAGCACGGAGUAGCAGUCCGUGCAGGUACCAUACCGUACCGGGAGAGAAGCACACAGGCUCGACUCGACAGCGAAUGACAAGUGCAUUCCCAUUGCUAAAGAAAGCCUAGGCGCGAUGCAGAAACCGGAGCAAGCUCUAGCUCGCUCUAGAGGCGGCGUGCACCGACGUGAUCCGAUGAGUGCGUGCAAGCUGCUGCGUGCGGCGGCUGCCGGCCGACCGGGCGCCCGGGCGGGCUGAUCCGGCAUGGCAGCGGCGUCAGCCUGACGGAUGUCCAUGUCGCGGAAGCAGAGGUGCUUGAGUUUCUGCAGCUGGGAUGGAUCGGGAGCAGAGCUGCUUACCUUUUAUGCAUCUUGUGCAGGUGAAUGCAGUAGCUUUUGGGCGUAGCGUUCUGUGCAAAUUUGACGGCCGGGGGCGUAGCGUUGCUGUGCGUUCAAUCGCGGGCGUUCGUUUCAUGUGGGGAUCCGUGUGAUUCUGUGGAUGUAUUUGUAGGGUAUAUGAAAUUUUUUUGGCAUCCUGUCCGACCAGGCAAGCACUAAAAAAAAUAUCGACCCUAUUCAAAUCUUGCAUGCAUAUAAUAUAGUAUUAUUUUUAUUUGGUGUUUUCAUGCUAAUGAUACGUACCAUUUAGGACCACUCAUGUAUACCGUUCAAAAUGUACCAGUACACUAAAUUGUAUAUUCAAAUUUUGCAUGAAUAUAAUGUAUUAUUAUUAACUAAGAGCGAGCUCCGGUGACCGGUCGCCCGCGAGAGCGCCAGCAAUAUAUAUUAUAUUUUAUUUGAUGUUUUCUUGCUAAUGAUAUGUACCAUCCACGUACCACUCAUGUAUAUCCCCAGCCAAAAACACGUGUGUCAGUAUAUAAAUUGUUUAUUUCUUGCUGAAUGGUACCACCAUGUAUACCGCCCAAAAAAACACGCUAUCUAAAUUGUUUGUUUUUUUUACUUCAUUGAAAAUAGUUUUGAUAACAUUUAUAAUAUUUAUUAGACAUUAUAUGUACCAUCCAUGUAUGCAUAUUUUACCACGUAAUACAAACUGUGUGAAUACACUGUAAAGUAAUAUUUUGCACAGUUUAUAAAAAUAAUUUUGAAAUUAUUACUGAAACUUAUCCGCAUACCACUGUACAUAGAUGCACAAGAACACAUUUUUUUGAGAAGAAUCUAACAUGCUAGUUAAUUGUGUUUUUUUAAGGGUCAACAAAUAUAAAUUUCUUAGCACAAUACUUUUGGUCUCAUCCAUGUCUGUAAAUUUCCAACUCUUGAUCAGCAUGAGCUCCUUAUCGUGAACAGGUCUUUACUUGAACAAUUAAAAGUGAAAUUCCAAAACAUAUUCGAACGCAAAGGCUACAAUACACAAUUUUCCAAAUUCGUCUGAUGCAUACAUCAUAAUUGAGAACCUAGGCAAAGAAUUGUUUCCAGGUCAUGGGAUCUGACUGAAAAAGAUCAUGAUAUGCGGAAUCUCAAUAGUUGUGCAGAAUCAAUCCUAGUACCAGAUCAAUUAAGCAUGCAUCGAAACCAUGUGGCAAUGUUCUUAAAUUCCUAAAAAAAAGAGACCAGACUGCUCAAUUCGAUUUUGCAUGCAACCAACUGAAUAAAGAUACACAACAAAUGGCUCACUUUUGGAGAUAGGAGAGCCAAUCUACAUUCAGAGCUAGCAAAAAUAACUGCCUCUUCGCACUACAAAUCAGUUUAUAAACGAGCAGAAAUUCAAAGUGUAUCUGGCGGCCACUCUUACAACAAAAUCCAAGACUCUUACUCCAACCACUCCACCACCCAAAGAAGAAAGGAAACAAAAACCUUUCCCCAACCAAUUCGUCGCCAUUUCCUCCACCAGCAGGAACUAAGGGCAUGUUUGGAUCCAUGGACUAAAUUUUAGUCUUGCACUUUUAGUUUAAAAUUUAGCUCUUGGGAUCCAAACAGGAGGGCUAAAAGUGACAAAUAGCUAAACUUUGGGAGCUAAAUUUUAGCCCCCAAAGAGGUCCUAAAAGGGGCUAAAAGUGCUCCCCAAGACCCCCUUUCCACCCCUGCCCCCUUUCCUCUCUCCUCUGCGUGGUCCUCUGCUCCUCCCGCACUCCCUCUCUCCUCCAACGCCCGCCGCCUCCGCCCGACCCCCGCCGCCUCCGCCCGGCCCCCCGCCUCCAGCCAGCCCCGCUGCCUCCGCCCGGGCCGCCGCCUCCGCUCGGCCCCCCGCCUACAGCCAGCCCCACCGCCUCCGCCUCCUUCGCCCGCCGCCGCCGCCUCGCCGGCCCCGCCACCUCCGCCUCACCUCGCCGCCUCGCCACGCCGAGGAGGUGCGAAGGGAAGAGGAGAGAGAGAGAGGGAAAGGAGGGGGAGGGAGAGAGGGAAAGAGAGGGCAAAUCAGUCAUUGUUUGAUGAGGGACUAAAAUUUAGCCCAUGGAUCCAAACACCCCAGCAGAACUAAAUUUUAGGAGCUAAAGUUUACCUCAUGAACUAGUGAUCCAAACACCACCUAAGUCAUUAGCAAAAGCAAAGUUUCCUUUCCAUUUUUGGAUUACAGUUUGCACACACUCUGAAAUGGAUAUGAGCAAGGGAAGAAAAAUGAUAGAACAAGAGCUUCCCGCUUUGCAAUGGAAACACAAGAGAUGAACAUCGGAGAAUUGAAUCAGCCCCUACUUACCAAGAAUUGGUACCAUUUGCCCAAAAUCCAGCGCCUAGCCCACAAGAUUGGCGUCCUCCUGGCCAAGAGCAGGCUUUGCUCCGUGAGCUCCUCCAAGGAGACCACCAGCUUCGGUGCUCGGCCGACCUCCUCGACCUCGGCCGCUAGCCCGACGCAGGCGACGGCAGCGAGGGCCGCGCCUGCCGUUAUCUCCCGAGACCCGAGCAGGCUGAUCGUAAUCGAGCGAGCCUGCCAGAGCGCUAGGUUUCCGCUCCUGAUC